CGUUCUGUAAGCCUGUGAAGGUGUGUCGUGAGGCAUGCUGGAGGUAUCAGAAGUGCGAAUGCUGACAUAAGUAACGAUAAAGCGGGUGAAAAGCCCGCUCGCCGGAAGACCAAGGGUUCCUGUCCAACGUUAAUCGGGGCAGGGUGAGUCGACCCCUAAGGCGAGGCCGAAAGGCGUAGUCGAUGGGAAACGGGUUAAUAUUCCCGUACUUGGUGUUACUGCGAAGGGGGGACGGAGAAGGCUAUGUUGGCCGGGCGACGGUUGUCCCGGUUUAAGCGUGUAGGUGUGUGUUCCAGGUAAAUCCGGUUCACUUUAACAC
Molecule: ribosomal RNA, 319 nt
Filed under: Salmonella enterica
Lineage: Bacteria; Pseudomonadati; Pseudomonadota; Gammaproteobacteria; Enterobacterales; Enterobacteriaceae
Also listed under: 1 other name
Description: partial 23S ribosomal RNA
Rfam family: Bacterial large subunit ribosomal RNA
Source: RNAcentral